AGCUCCAGUAGCGUAUAUUAACGUUGUUGCAGUUAAAAAGCUCGUAGUUGGAUUUCUGGCUUGAUGAACUCGGUCCCGUCCGUUCGGACGUGAGUACUGGCGUUGAUCUGCCAUCCUUCUGGAGAACGGCUCUGCCCUUGAUUGGGUUGGGGUCGCCAUCUAGAUCUUUUACUUUGAAAAAAUUAGAGUGUUUAAAGCAGGCGUUGCAUUGAAUACAUUAGCAUGGAAUAAUAAUAUAGGACUUCGGUCUCUAUUUUGUUGGUUUCUAGAACUGAAGUAAUGAUUGAUAGGGAUAGUUGGGGGUGCUAGUAUUCAGCGGCCAGAGGUGAAAUUCUUGGAUUCGCUGAAGACUAACUUAUGCGAAAGCAUUCACCAAGGAUGUCUUCUUUAAUCAAGAACG
Molecule: ribosomal RNA, 400 nt
Filed under: phytoplankton environmental sample
Lineage: Eukaryota
Description: partial small subunit ribosomal RNA
Rfam family: Eukaryotic small subunit ribosomal RNA
Source: RNAcentral